RNAcentral lists this ribosomal RNA (588 nucleotides) under uncultured bacterium. Its description in RNAcentral is "bacterial SSU rRNA". It matches the Rfam family "Bacterial small subunit ribosomal RNA", at positions 338 to 916 of the family's 1533-position model. The record is from RNAcentral.
CCUACGGGAGGCAGCAGUGGGGAAUUUUGGACAAUGGGCGCAAGCCUGAUCCAGCAAUGCCGCGUGAGUGAAGAAGGCCUUCGGGUUGUAAAGCUCUUUUGUCAGGGAAGAAACGGUGGGAGCUAAUAUCUCCCGCUAAUGACGGUACCUGAAGAAUAAGCACCGGCUAACUACGUGCCAGCAGCCGCGGUAAUACGUAGGGUGCAAGCGUUAAUCGGAAUUACUGGGCGUAAAGCGUGCGCAGGCGGUUUUGUAAGUCUGUCGUGAAAGCCCCGGGCUCAACCUGGGAAUUGCGAUGGAGACUGCAAGGCUUGAAUCUGGCAGAGGGGGGUAGAAUUCCACGUGUAGCAGUGAAAUGCGUAGAGAUGUGGAGGAACACCGAUGGCGAAGGCAGCCCCCUGGGUCAAGAUUGACGCUCAUGCACGAAAGCGUGGGGAGCAAACAGGAUUAGAUACCCUGGUAAUCCACGCCCUAAACGAUGUCUACUAGUUGUCGGGUUUUAAUUAACUUGGUAACGCAGCUAACGCGUGAAGUAGACCGCCUGGGGAGUACGGUCGCAAGAUUAAACGACAAAUAGAAGUUAGACGA